Molecule: microRNA precursor, 195 nt
Organism: Oryza sativa Japonica Group (Japanese rice)
Lineage: Eukaryota; Viridiplantae; Streptophyta; Magnoliopsida; Poales; Poaceae
Rfam family: MIR812 microRNA precursor family
Source: Rfam
UUUAAGUGCAACCAUAAGUUUCUGCGCAAAACUUUGACCGUCCGUCUUAUUUGAAUUUUUUUUAUAAUUAGUAUUUUUAUUGUUAUGAGAUGAUAAAAAAAUGAAUAAUACUUUGUGUUUUUAAUUAUUUUUUUAAAAAAAUUAAAUAAGACAGACGGUUAAAGUUAUACACAGAAAAUCAUGGCUGUACUCAAA